AGCAGGACGGUGGCCAUGGAAGUCGGAAUCC
This 31-nucleotide non-coding RNA is filed under the name Drosophila melanogaster (fruit fly). Lineage: Eukaryota; Metazoa; Arthropoda; Insecta; Diptera; Drosophilidae. RNAcentral also lists the same sequence under 7 other names. The record is from RNAcentral.